This 73-nucleotide transfer RNA is filed under the name Kordia sp. SMS9. RNAcentral describes it as "tRNA-Met". It matches the Rfam family "tRNA". Rfam says of the family: Transfer RNA (tRNA) molecules are approximately 80 nucleotides in length. Their secondary structure includes four short double-helical elements and three loops (D, anti-codon, and T loops). Further hydrogen bonds mediate the characteristic L-shaped molecular structure. tRNAs have two regions of fundamental functional importance: the anti-codon, which is responsible for specific mRNA codon recognition, and the 3' end, to which the tRNAs corresponding amino acid is attached (by aminoacyl-tRNA synthetases). tRNAs cope with the degeneracy of the genetic code in two manners: having more than one tRNA (with a specific anti-codon) for a particular amino acid; and 'wobble' base-pairing, i.e. permitting non-standard base-pairing at the 3rd anti-codon position. The record is from RNAcentral. Lineage: Bacteria; Pseudomonadati; Bacteroidota; Flavobacteriia; Flavobacteriales; Flavobacteriaceae.
AAGAUUGAUGGUUUAAUUGGAAGAACACCUAGCUCAUCACUGGAAGUGCGAGUUCAAACCUCGCUCAAUCUUU